GCCAUUGCAUUGUUUUUGGAAGAUUGGUGCUGGCAUCAGAUGGAACCCCAUGUCGGUUGGCAAAAGCUUUUCGAAGAUAAUCGAAACCAUGGGGUCCAGAUAAAAUAGACUUCAUAAUUCCUAUACGAGCUUUGCUUAUCUCUUGUUUAAGCACCAGAAUCUGCUCCAAGACAAACUGCAGACCCCUAAUCAAGGCAAUCUCACAUGGAUUCUUCGACUUAUCUUCAGUUUGACAUAUCUCAGUUAACUCUCCAAAUAAACUCUCGUAACUAGCCUUCAGCUGGCCCUCUUUUGAAGGAGAG
Molecule: unclassified non-coding RNA, 302 nt
Filed under: Hevea brasiliensis (rubber tree)
Lineage: Eukaryota; Viridiplantae; Streptophyta; Magnoliopsida; Malpighiales; Euphorbiaceae
Source: RNAcentral